This 543-nucleotide ribosomal RNA is filed under the name Botryosphaeria dothidea. RNAcentral's name for it is "eukaryotic LSU rRNA". The stretch from base 209 to 362 matches the Rfam family "5.8S ribosomal RNA". Lineage: Eukaryota; Fungi; Ascomycota; Dothideomycetes; Botryosphaeriales; Botryosphaeriaceae. The record is from RNAcentral.
CGUAGGUGAACCUGCGGAAGGAUCAUUACCGAGUUGAUUCGGGCUCCGGCCCGAUCCUCCCACCCUUUGUGUACCUACCUCUGUUGCUUUGGCGGGCCGCGGUCCUCCGCGGCCGGCCCCCCUCCCCGGGGGGUGGCCAGCGCCCGCCAGAGGACCAUCAAACUCCAGUCAGUAAACGAUGCAGUCUGAAAAACAUUUAAUAAACUAAAACUUUCAACAACGGAUCUCUUGGUUCUGGCAUCGAUGAAGAACGCAGCGAAAUGCGAUAAGUAAUGUGAAUUGCAGAAUUCAGUGAAUCAUCGAAUCUUUGAACGCACAUUGCGCCCUUUGGUAUUCCGAAGGGCAUGCCUGUUCGAGCGUCAUUACAACCCUCAAGCUCUGCUUGGUAUUGGGCACCGUCCUUUGCGGGCGCGCCUCAAAGACCUCGGCGGUGGCGUCUUGCCUCAAGCGUAGUAGAACAUACAUCUCGCUUCGGAGCGCAGGGCGUCGCCCGCCGGACGAACCUUCUGAACUUUUCUCAAGGUUGACCUCGGAUCAGGUAGG